This 805-nucleotide unclassified non-coding RNA is filed under the name Pollicipes pollicipes. RNAcentral's name for it is "glutaredoxin-1-like, transcript variant X4". The record is from RNAcentral. Lineage: Eukaryota; Metazoa; Arthropoda; Thecostraca; Pollicipedomorpha; Pollicipedidae.
UGGGGACGGCGGAGGGAUCAUAGGGAACUUGGAGAAGAGGAGAGGGAUAACAGGAAGUGCAGGAAGAGAGGAGGAGCAGAAGUGGAGGAGGAGUGGAAGGAGAAGAGUGACAGAAAGAGAAGAUAGAGGUGAAUGGGUUCCGGAGAAUCAACAAUGGUUGCCCCGGAAGUUAAACAGGCUGUGGACAAACUCAUCAAGUCAAACAAAGUGAUGAUGUUCUCCAAGUCAUCCUGCCCUUAUUGCAGGAUGGCAAAGCAGGUUUUUAACGAGAUUGGGGAGAAUUUUGGCCUUGUAGAGCUAGAUCAGCAUGAAGAUGGGAGCAGCAUGCAGGACUACCUUGGCCAGCUCACUGGUGCGCGGACGGUACCCCGCGUGUUCAUCCGGGGUCAGUGCAUCGGAGGCGGCUCCGAAACGCAGAGUCUGUACCGCAGCGGACAGCUGAAAACCAUGCUAGCCUGAGCCGCUCCUGAAUGUCACGGGACCGCGCAUUGAAGGCUUUCAUGGCCAGCGACGAUCGUGCUCCUACUGCCUUAUGUGCUCGUUGAAUACGUCUAUGUCACAGGUGUGCGUUGGAUGUGUUUUCUUCAUCACUUCUGAAUAUGCACAAACUUAGUUGAUGCUAAACUGUGGCCUUUUGCGCUGAUGAUCUGAUGUGCUUCAGCUCGGUGGAAUGCUAAUGUCGGAAAGAUAUUGCGGCUAGUACUACAGAAGACAUAGAAAAUUCUGCCGGCCAUUCUGAGUCCUGCUGGGGACAUGUCAUGUUCGUUACCAGUUAUCCAUCUAAAUAUAUAAAACGUUAAUUUUC